RNAcentral lists this ribosomal RNA (253 nucleotides) under uncultured bacterium. RNAcentral describes it as "partial 16S ribosomal RNA". It matches the Rfam family "Bacterial small subunit ribosomal RNA", at positions 524 to 776 of the family's 1533-position model. The record is from RNAcentral.
GACGUAGGUGGCGAGCGUUGUCCGGAAUUACUGGGCGUAAAGGGCGUGUAGGCGGCCCUUCAAGUCAGGCGUGAAAUUCCUGGGCUCAACCCAGGGACUGCGUUUGAGACUGAGGGGCUUGAGGACAGGAGAGGGAAGCGGAACUCCGUGUGUAGCGGUGAAAUGCGUAGAUAUACGGAAGAACACCAGUGGCGAAGGCGGCUUCCUGGACUGUCCCUGACGCUGAGGCGCGAAAGCCAGGGGAGCGAACGGG